AUUUGUAACGAUAGCGAAGUGGAUACACCUGUUCCCAUCCCGAACACAGAAGUUAAGCACUUCUACGCCGACGAUAGUGUAUGCGAAAAUAGGACGUUGCAAGUC
Molecule: ribosomal RNA, 105 nt
Organism: Firmicutes bacterium CAG:822
Lineage: Bacteria; Bacillati; Bacillota
Source: Rfam